UCACCGGGAGUAAUUGGCUUG
Molecule: microRNA, 21 nt
Filed under: Caenorhabditis brenneri
Lineage: Eukaryota; Metazoa; Nematoda; Chromadorea; Rhabditida; Rhabditidae
Description: cbn-miR-35h
Gene: cbn-miR-35h
Source: miRBase by way of RNAcentral